Molecule: ribosomal RNA, 198 nt
Filed under: uncultured bacterium
Lineage: Bacteria
Description: partial 16S ribosomal RNA
Rfam family: Bacterial small subunit ribosomal RNA
Source: RNAcentral
ACGCUCGACACCUACGGGAGACAGCAGUGGGGAAUAUUGCACAAUGGGGGAAACCCUGAUGCAGCGACGCCGCGUGAAGGAAGAAGUAUCUCGGUAUGUAAACUUCUAUCAGCAGGGAAGAAAAUGACGGUAUCUGACUAAGAAGCCCCGGCUAACUACGUGCCGGCAGCCGCGGUAAUCUGAGCGGGCUGGCAAGGC